Molecule: long non-coding RNA, 1146 nt
Organism: Cercocebus atys (sooty mangabey)
Lineage: Eukaryota; Metazoa; Chordata; Mammalia; Primates; Cercopithecidae
Exons: 3
Source: RefSeq, a predicted model, not a curated record
CCUGGUCUUCCCAAAUUCUUCAGGAGACUCUAGUCAGGAAAUUUCCGGCUUGGUGGUAACGUAAGAGUCUCCUCCAGAUCAAGCCCCUGGAGAAGAUCUCCUUUAUUAACAUGAGAAGUGACCAGGUGACCCCACUCUGGCCAGGGAACCAUGGCUGAAGUCCUCAGGGGAUUUGUGGGGAAGCGGCGCCCCCCUCCUCCUUGGGGUUUUCUUGCAGAGCUGCUGUGAAGAAUCAAACGCAGCUGUGAUAAUUAUCCAAGGUCAGCUCUUCCAGAAUGUCCUUAUCUCCUAAGGCCUUUGAGAUAAGCAGGAAUUGUGGUGUCUGCCUUGCCUCCAAACCUUUAUCCUUGCUUAUCUCAGUGGAAAAUUCCAGCAGGGAUUUCUGAACACCAAGUUAAAUUCCUCCACUCAACAAUCAGUUUGGCGCGUGGCUGCCCGCCAGGCUGGGCAGAGCAGAGCGGAGCCAAAGGAAUAAACCCAAGUCCUGCCCCCAGGUGCCCAGAGUCUGGCGAGGAUAGGACAGUUGCCUGCAGAGCAAGAGACUGCCGCCCGGGUUCACACAGGCCAGAGAGGCUGACCUACCUGCCCAGAGGCAGGGGAAGAAUCCAGAGGACCUCUCCUAGGAAGAAAUGUUGGCACAGGCACGAGAAGCCCACGUGGCAGCCAAGAGGAGGGACAGCAUCCUGGGCCCCAGAAUGCCAGGGGCAGAUGUGCACUGGGAGGCGCGGGGCUGGGGACACCAUCAGUGAGCACAGGGUCUGGGUAGGCUGCGGGAGGGGUGAGAGUGGAGAGACAGCCAAGCCGGGUUGUGGGAGGCCCUGCCUAAUUCUGUAAAAACUAGGAUUAGAAACAUAACAAAAAUGGGCUGGGCACGGUGGCUCACACCUGUAAUCCACUUUGGGAGGCUGAGCCCAGUGGAUCACAUGAGGUUGAGAGUUCAAGACCAACCUGGCCGACACGGUGAAACCCCAUCUCUACUAAAAAUACAAAAAUUAGCCAGGCAUGGUGGCACACACCUCUAAUCCCAGGUACUAAGGAGGUUGAGGCCAAGAAUUGCUUCAACCCAGGGGGCAGAGGUUGCAGUGAGCCCAGACUAUGCCACUGUACUCCAGCCUGGGCAACAGAGCAAGUCUCUGUCUGAAAAAU